Molecule: non-coding RNA, 125 nt
Organism: Triticum aestivum (bread wheat)
Lineage: Eukaryota; Viridiplantae; Streptophyta; Magnoliopsida; Poales; Poaceae
Source: Rfam
GAUAUACUCCCUCCGUCCAGAAAUAUUUGUCGGAGAAAUGGAUGUAUCUAGACAUAUUUUAGUUCUACAUAUAUUCAUUUUUAUUCAUUUGUACGACAAGUAUUUCCGGACGGAGGGAGUACUUG